GGUACCUUGGCCGAGCGGUUAGGCACCGGUCUGCAAAACCGUAUACGGCGGUUCGAUUCCGCCAGGUACCU
RNAcentral lists this transfer RNA (71 nucleotides) under Bacteroidales bacterium. RNAcentral describes it as "tRNA-Cys". It matches the Rfam family "tRNA". From Rfam's summary of the family: Transfer RNA (tRNA) molecules are approximately 80 nucleotides in length. The record is from RNAcentral. Lineage: Bacteria; Pseudomonadati; Bacteroidota; Bacteroidia; Bacteroidales.